Molecule: long non-coding RNA, 397 nt
Organism: Mercurialis annua (annual mercury)
Lineage: Eukaryota; Viridiplantae; Streptophyta; Magnoliopsida; Malpighiales; Euphorbiaceae
Exons: 3
Source: RefSeq, a predicted model, not a curated record
UAUACAUUUCACAUCUUUUCUUCAUCGAUUCCUCUCUCUGCACAAUCAAAAUCAAAAUCUUGUUCGUUUAUGAAAACACAAGAACAAGAUCUCUCAAAACUCACAUGAAAUUCUCAUACCAGCGGAAGUUAAUCCUCAUACCAGCCGGAGGUAUUGCUAUCAGUUGGAUUCUUUCAGAUGCAGGCUAUGUCACUGGUAGAGGAAAGCAUGCAGUCUAACAUAUCAUAGCACCUGACCAUGUCCACAAUUGUAUCGAUGUGACUUGGAGGGAGCAAAGUGGAGAUUUCAUAUUAUGCAUACAUGGACAGGUGUUAUGAUUUGUUAGAACUCAAAGCAAGGUUAAACUCACCUCAAAGGAUAAUCUAAAGUCCCAGCUAAUUCUAUAUGUGAGUUUCAA